UGGCUAACAAUGAUAAAUUUUAUAUCUUUGUGGAUAUCGGUGAGAUUUUAUCAAUGAUCUGAAUGUUACACAGACUAAAGCCU
Molecule: small nucleolar RNA, 83 nt
Organism: Papaver somniferum (opium poppy)
Lineage: Eukaryota; Viridiplantae; Streptophyta; Magnoliopsida; Ranunculales; Papaveraceae
Product: small nucleolar RNA R11/Z151
Exons: 1
Source: RefSeq, a predicted model, not a curated record